RNAcentral lists this ribosomal RNA (1191 nucleotides) under Staphylococcus aureus. Its description in RNAcentral is "partial 23S ribosomal RNA". It matches the Rfam family "Bacterial large subunit ribosomal RNA", at positions 328 to 1525 of the family's 2925-position model. The record is from RNAcentral. Lineage: Bacteria; Bacillati; Bacillota; Bacilli; Caryophanales; Staphylococcaceae.
AUUAGACGAAUCAUCUGGAAAGAUGAAUCAAAGAAGGUAAUAAUCCUGUAGUCGAAAAUGUUGUCUCUCUUGAGUGGAUCCUGAGUACGACGGAGCACGUGAAAUUCCGUCGGAAUCUGGGAGGACCAUCUCCUAAGGCUAAAUACUCUCUAGUGACCGAUAGUGAACCAGUACCGUGAGGGAAAGGUGAAAAGCACCCCGGAAGGGGAGUGAAAUAGAACCUGAAACCGUGUGCUUACAAGUAGUCAGAGCCCGUUAAUGGGUGAUGGCGUGCCUUUUGUAGAAUGAACCGGCGAGUUACGAUUUGAUGCAAGGUUAAGCAGUAAAUGUGGAGCCGUAGCGAAAGCGAGUCUGAAUAGGGCGUUUAGUAUUUGGUCGUAGACCCGAAACCAGGUGAUCUACCCUUGGUCAGGUUGAAGUUCAGGUAACACUGAAUGGAGGACCGAACCGACUUACGUUGAAAAGUGAGCGGAUGAACUGAGGGUAGCGGAGAAAUUCCAAUCGAACCUGGAGAUAGCUGGUUCUCUCCGAAAUAGCUUUAGGGCUAGCCUCAAGUGAUGAUUAUUGGAGGUAGAGCACUGUUUGGACGAGGGGCCCCUCUCGGGUUACCGAAUUCAGACAAACUCCGAAUGCCAAUUAAUUUAACUUGGGAGUCAGAACAUGGGUGAUAAGGUCCGUGUUCGAAAGGGAAACAGCCCAGACCACCAGCUAAGGUCCCAAAAUAUAUGUUAAGUGGAAAAGGAUGUGGCGUUGCCCAGACAACUAGGAUGUUGGCUUAGAAGCAGCCAUCAUUUAAAGAGUGCGUAAUAGCUCACUAGUCGAGUGACACUGCGCCGAAAAUGUACCGGGGCUAAACAUAUUACCGAAGCUGUGGAUUGUCCUUUGGACAAUGGUAGGAGAGCGUUCUAAGGGCGUUGAAGCAUGAUCGUAAGGACAUGUGGAGCGCUUAGAAGUGAGAAUGCCGGUGUGAGUAGCGAAAGACGGGUGAGAAUCCCGUCCACCGAUUGACUAAGGUUUCCAGAGGAAGGCUCGUCCGCUCUGGGUUAGUCGGGUCCUAAGCUGAGGCCGACAGGCGUAGGCGAUGGAUAACAGGUUGAUAUUCCUGUACCACCUAUAAUCGUUUUAAUCGAUGGGGGGACGCAGUAGGAUAGGCGAAGCGUGCGAUUGGAUUGCACGUCUAAGCAGUAAGGC